UCGAAAAAACAAAAAACAAAAAAAACAAACAAAAAAUUAAAAAUCUUAUCUUGAUACUAAAAAGAACUUCAAUUCAAAAAUUGUUUUUAUUACAAACUGUUAAAGAUGAUUAAGCCUUACGAUGUUUAAAACUAUACUUAAGUCAUUCUAAAGACUAAUGUAAUCAAGUACAGAAAAAAUUUAUCUAGCCUCUUAUAUAUUUUCAAGGUAUAGUCUAAACCAAAUAACUAAAAACAAACAGGAGUUGUUUAGCUCAAGUCCUCAAGCUGUCAGAUUUGAUGAAGAUGGCAUUUAAGAUAUGUAAACUUAUAUAACAGACAGAGACUCUCAGAUCCUAGCAGCGACUCCCAAGGUCCCCAAGAAGACAAUGGGCAUAGCAACAGGCAACUCCACCUGGACUACAGUAAUGCUAACCAGCUGACCACUGGGCAAGACUGCCCCAAUGCCUUGCCUUCUGCCAAGGCCCAGCCCAAACUGUGGGCAAUCAGGACACUGGAGAGUUGAUGCCCUGCUUUGCCUAGACAACAUGAGGCCAAUCUCCCCAUAUUCCUCAUCCCCAGGAAAGCCUCUCAUCCUCCAGACCUGGCAGCCAAGAUUGCUGUCCUGAUGACUCUGCCCUCAUCUCCACCGAGUCCACAGGAGCCUGGGAUAUCUUUCUAGUCUAUAUUUGUUUCAGCAGAUUUAAUAGACACCAUCCAGAGAGCACCUAUGAACUGCAAACUGCUGACCUCUGGACUUGCUGAAAGCUGAUGUGAACCAAUCUAGCUGAUGUGAUUGUUCCCCGUCCCUUCGCCAGGAACAGCUAACCAGAUGCUCCUUAUAAAUGUCCUAUUGCCCAGCCAUUGACUGCCUUUCAGCCCUCCUGGGUCCUGACAACCGACACCCCAAUUUCAGCUGGAAGCAGCUACAGAAGAGAGUACAUUGUCUCUAUCCUUAACAGGCUGAAAAUGAUAAGUCAAAGGCAAAUUCCCUUUGGGGGAAACCUGUUGCUUACAUGUCAUUCAUUCUAAAAUAGUCCAGCAAAAGUAAAACCUUGACUGUGCAGAAUGAAACUCAUUACACUGCCCCAUCUGGAUGAUGGGCCUGCAACACUGGUUUGACCCCAUACAUUCAUGGCCACAAAUAGGAUGCCACAAGGGAGGUCUGUUUUCUCCUUAUCUCUGUCUCUAAAUGAGCACCCUUCUUGGAACUUGUACAUCAAGACAUGACAAACUGAGAAGAGACUCCUGGACGCGUCAUGGUUGAGCCAACUGGACUGAGCCAUCUCCCUCCCACCCCAGUUUCUUUCCUAAGUCCUUUAAAAAGCCCUUAUAUUUGAAGGUCAAUGGUAUCCUAUUUCUGGGACUCACUCCUGCUCUACAGGAGCUCUGUCUUCCGCUCAAGCUCCCACAUAGGAAUCUAUAACAAACUUCUUUCUAAAUCCAUCCUUCUAUUGUCCAUGAAUUUCAUUCUUCAAAUUCAUCUUGUAAGAGCCCAGGGGCCAAUGACUCUGUGUAAAUUUUGUAUAACUUUGAGGUUCUGGCACCCUAACUCCUGAAUUAAAGCCCCCUCCACCAAAAGAAAGCUUCUGUUAAAGACACCUCACUUUCUCCGUAUUAUAAUCUUAGAAAAAAGAUUGAACACAGAUGAAAAUACUCAACUUCUUCAUCUAUUAAUGAGGAUAAAAAUGACCAGAGAGGCGCUGAGAGUUUAAAUGUUAGAUACUUAGAACUGCGCCUGGCACCCAGUGACUUCUCUGUAGCUAUUAAUGUGCGUGAGGACAUGUGGUGGUCUGAAUGAGAAUGCCCCCAUAGGCUCACUCAUAUGUCUGCACGCAUAGUCCCCAGCUGGAGAAAUGUUUGGGAAAGAUGAGAUGUGGCCCUGUUGGAAUAGGUGUGGGCUGUUGGAGGAGAUGUGUCAUUGGGUCUGAAUUUUGAGAUUUCAAAAGUCCAUGCCAGCCCCAGUCUCUCUCUCACUUCCUCCCUCCCUCCCACUCUCUCUACCUCACUCUCUCUGCCUGUUGCCUUCCGAUCAGGAUGUACAGCUCUCAGCUACUGCUCUAGCACCUCACCUGUCUGAUUCCUGCCAUGGACUAACCCUCUAAAACUGUAAACAAGCCCCAAUUAAAUGCUUUCUUUUAUAA
This is a non-coding RNA of Peromyscus maniculatus bairdii (prairie deer mouse), 2122 nucleotides long. The record is from RefSeq and is a predicted model, not a curated record. Lineage: Eukaryota; Metazoa; Chordata; Mammalia; Rodentia; Cricetidae.